Molecule: long non-coding RNA, 1781 nt
Filed under: Heterocephalus glaber (naked mole-rat)
Lineage: Eukaryota; Metazoa; Chordata; Mammalia; Rodentia; Bathyergidae
Description: lncRNA (ENSHGLG00000048894.1)
Source: RNAcentral
GUGCUUAAAAACUGCAAUAAUAUGGCAAACUGCUGCAAGGCAAUUAUUUACAUAAAUCUUUUCUUGUUAUUUCCUUCCUUCUUAUCUUGCUAAUAUUUAUUUUGACUGCCUUGCAGAGUGACUUUGACUUCAUCCAGGAGGAGAACAAGGCUGAGUGAACAGUGCCACCCAGGUAGAUGCUCAUCACAACAGUAAAGUGAAAGGAGGAAGUGAUGCAACAGUGCCAUUGUUCCAAAGUAGAAGGAAAAGCUGAACAGAAGGCUCUCUCUCCAGAUUCCACAUGUUUACUGGACGGUUCUCGAUGUUGACCAUUCUGAGUUACUAUUCCCUGGUACAUAAUAUAUCCUCUCAUGUUUGUUUACCAAGAAGAACGACAAUAGCCAAAGGGUCCUUCUUUUAACCCUAAACCACAGCAAACAUUGUCUCCAGAAGGGCCUCGGUUAUCUAAGGAGCCUUGGGCUACCAUGAAAUGUGCAGAGGAAACAAUUCACCCCUGUUCACCCAUGUUCGCUAUCACCACCUCGUGCGUGGCUUAGGAUGGCGGGGUGGAGUCUUUCCUAAUCAUGCAACACUCUGUGCCCCUGACAGAAGAAUCUCAGGGGAGUGUCCACCAAGGUCUACCAUGACAAGUCUUCCAGGAAGGGCAAUGUGGUUCAGACCAAAGAGCACCAGAGUGGAAGGACAGAGGACAAUGUGCCUGUCAUAGCUCUUCUGCUGGUCAUAUGAUCAUGCAUGGAUCUCCUUUCACAUAGAAUGGUGGUAACAUGUAUUCCCUGGUGAGAGCAAAGGGCAAUCAAUGUGUGGCAUAAGUUAGGCCAGUGAUAUGUAAGUGGUGUUGCAGUCUGUAGUAUGCUGGGCAAGUGUAAGUUAUCACUCAGAUUUGAUUCCGAGGAGGCCCUGCCCGACCUGCCAAGUCCCUCCAAGCUGCCUGGAUCAGGGCCUGGUAUCUCGUCCAGAUCGGAACAGUCGGAGUCCAGUAGGAAUAGUAGGGACAGAGUAACCCUCAGAGCUUGUGUUUUCCAUUCCGACAGCUCAUUUAUCCCACCGUAUCUGUUUCUCCCUGUGCCUCGAAGCCAGCACCCCAGGGACGUGACCCAGUUGCCUUGCCGCCCACAGAGCUUCCUUCCCAGAGCCUUCCUCCCCACCCCGAAGGACACAGGAGGCAACUUGCUCCCCCCGUGCUCAUGCCCCCACGGCUCAUUGUCCACAGGCCACACCGCAGUGUGCUCUUCACCACAGGACUUUGUCCCUGUUGCCUCUUAAUCCCACGUCCAGGUCUUGGAGCCAUCAGUAUAAUUUCCCUGUCAUUAGCAAUGUGCUCACGAUGUACUUUCCUCACUAUGACUCAGAAUGACUUCAGGUCCUUCGAACAAUUGAAGUCCUUUGUAGACUAAGAGUUGGUGUUGAUAAUGUCCAAAUGGAUUGGGUCAAUUUUCCGUCCUCAGACAGGCCCUAACCAGGAAACAGAAUUGCAGGGAAAUGGAAACCAGAUUCAAAAAGAUACAUGAAGAUGAAAUCCGGGUAUGGAGAACACAGCUUUCCAGGAAGGGCUGAAACAACUAGAAUUAUUUUGGCUUGAGGGUGAAGUACACAAAAUGCAGGCUGGCUCUUUCCUGUCGCCACCAAAGAGGGAAACAACAGAAAGGUCUUCAGAUAGGGCAAGAAGGAUUUAGGUGACAUUUAAAGAAGAAUUUCUUAGUAAUGUGCAUUGUUAAAUAUUGGAAGAAUUUACAAAGGAAAUCUGUAAAAUUCCUUUCUGUACCAAUCUUUCCAUAGAAGGG